RNAcentral lists this ribosomal RNA (403 nucleotides) under Taeniopteryx nivalis. Its description in RNAcentral is "partial 12S ribosomal RNA". The stretch from base 50 to 403 matches the Rfam family "Microsporidia small subunit ribosomal RNA", at positions 752 to 1207 of the family's 1311-position model. The record is from RNAcentral. Lineage: Eukaryota; Metazoa; Arthropoda; Insecta; Plecoptera; Taeniopterygidae.
UAAACUACGAUUAGAUACCCUAUUAUUUUAAAUGUCAAAAAUAUGACUUGAGUAGUAAUAGUUAUGUUCUUGAAACUCAAAGAAUUUGGCGGUGUUUUAGUCCUUUCAGAGGAACCUGUCCCAUAAUCGAUAAUCCACGUAAAACCUUACUUAAUUUUGUUUCAGCUUGUAUACCGCCGUCGUCAGAAUGUCCUUUGAAGGCUUUAAUUUUCUUAAAUUUUUAAUAGAAAUGAUGUCAGGUCAAGGUGCAGUUUAUAAUUAAGUGGAGAUGGGUUACAAUAAAUAUAUUUAUAAUGGAAAAUAUCUUGAAAUAGAUAUUGGAAGGUGGAUUUGAUAGUAAUUUAUUUAAUAGAGUAUAAUUGAUUUUGGCUCUAAAACAUGCACACAUCGCCCGUCGCUCUUA